This is a long non-coding RNA of Bubalus bubalis (water buffalo), 2884 nucleotides long. RefSeq lists it as uncharacterized. The record is from RefSeq and is a predicted model, not a curated record. The transcript has 2 exons. NCBI's taxonomy places the organism in Eukaryota, Metazoa, Chordata, Mammalia, Artiodactyla, Bovidae.
AGAAUCCCAGGGACGGGGGAGCCUGGUGGGCUGCCGUCUAUGGGGUCGCGCAGAGUUGGACACGACUGAAGUGACUUAACAGCAGCAGCUGUCUUCAGCUCCCUUUCUAGGCACUGGGGAUACAAAGAUGACCCAAGAUGUGUUUCCUGCUCAUAAAGUUUAGAAAACAAAACCAAAACACAUUAAUGCAUAACUGUGAUAAUGGGAAGAAAUGGACUCAUAAAGGAGCAAAUCAUUUCCCAGGGGUAUCUCAUUUCAGCUUUGUGUUAAUAGGAUCUGAAGGGCUUCCCCGGUGGCUCAGUGGUAAAGAAUCCACCUUUCCAAUGCAGGAGACGUGGGUUUGAUCCCUGGGUUGGGAAGAUCCCCUGGAGGAGGAAAUGGUAACCUACUCCAGUAUUCUUGCCUGGAGAAUCCCAUGGACAGAGGAGUCUGGCAGGCUACAGUCCAUGGGGUCGCAAAGAGUCAGACAUGACUGAGCACACAGGCACGCAAAAGCUCAGAAGGCAUUAACAAGGCAAGGCAUGUAAGGUGAAGAGCCAUAAUCAAGGGCAUAAAAGGGUACAAGAGUGUUGGGGGACAGUAAGUCAUCCCAUUCUUUUGGAUGAGGGUGUAGUGAGUGAUACUAAAUCUUACAAGAUAUUUGGAAAGCUUUCAAUCUCAACUACCAAGGCCAACCACUUUCUCCUAAAUUUUAAAGACCUGCCCUUCUAUAUCAUCUCCUACCCAGACCACAGGAAUUUGUUUCCUUAUUGAUAUCUGCUUUCUUCAGAUCCCUAUGAAAAUUCUCUUUUACUUCCCAGCUCAAACUACUGCUCUCUACAGUCUAAAGGAUUUUGCCUGGGCCUACAUCUCACAUUUGAGCAGUAGGUUACUUUUGUUCUCUGUGCUCUUACCUGCAUUUUUCAGAUAUGCAUUGAUCACCCUUAAAUAAUCCACCUAAUCUGUUCACUUUUUUUUUAAUCUGUUCACUUUUGAUUUUAAAAAACGCCUUCAUGCCUGCCCUGUUAAUUGAUGUUCACAGUUCUUUUUGAAGAGCCAGCCAGUUUUGUCCUUAACUCUAGAAGUGAAGUGACUUGCUCAGAGUCAUCCAGUAACUUGUUGACAAAACCAGAAUGAGUACUCAGAUCUUCCAGCCCCACCCUCUGUCUUCCUGUUCUUUCACUGGCCACUCUGCGCUCUUCACUCUGUUAGGUAACAUUUCCAUUUUUAUAGGGAUCCUCUGUACUUGAUGCUUUAGCUCAGGGACUGCUUGGGAGGGGGAAAAGGAAGGGAGGUCUAUCAGGGAGCUCCCUCAUUUUCUCCCCUCCGAAUUUUAUGUGAUUUGUUUAGAGGUAAAAAGGUUUCGUCCCCUCCAUGCAAGUUGGACAGUGCCUUAACCCAAAGGGAGGGCUUUAAUGGUGAAAAUUUCAGGCUCUUAGUAAAUAGAAGAGGUAUUUGGAAUCACGAUUUACUAAUCUGUAAGUAAACCUUGAAUAGGGCUUCCCAGGUGGCUCAGGAACCCUAUUAAUUAAUUGAAGACCAUGGCCAUCAGACUCAGGAGCCUGGCGGUCCAUGGGAUCACAAAGAGUCAGAAAUGAUGAAGCAACUGAGCAUGCGCACAUGCAAGUCCUGAAUCAACUGCUCUAUGCCCAGGUCUGUGUUCAAGGUGCUACUGGAGAGAGAUGAUGCCCCUAGCCCUCAGGUGCCUCAUGUUUUGUCUUGUAUUAAUCUGGAGACACUAAACCCUCAUGAGUAUUAGUAGGUAAGAAUCAAGGAUGGAGAAACAAGUAAAAGAAGGGUAUGGGUAGCAGGUGUGGGAGGACCAGAUUGGUCACCAGAUAUCACUGUGGUCAUACGAGACUUCACAAGGAAGCAAGGAUGACUCUCCAACUUCUCCCUCUAGCCUACAUACUUCUCUUCUUGCCCAGAUCUACAUGUCUAGCUUCUUUCUGGACACUUCUCCUGGAUGGCUCCCAGGCUACCCUUAGGAGCCUUGUCAUUCUCCUCCUCAUUUGCUUCGCUAGGGCUCCCCCUUUACAGUGAAAAAUACCCCCAUCCAUCCACCACACCAGCCAGAAACCUAAGCUUCAUUCUCUCAUCUCCCACAUCCCAUCAGUCUCCAAAUCCCGUCCAUUCUACCUUCUGAACAUUUCACUCUAACCUCCUCUCAAUCUCUACCUGGCUUAGCAUCAGGCUCCUCACUGCUCCCUGCCUCCUCCCUCAACACAAAGCGACCUUUCCAAACCACAGAUGGGAUCACAAAAUUCCCCCGCUUCAAGUCCAUGCAUGAGUCCCCAGUGUCCUAGGAGUAAAUCCCAACUCCUCAGCCACUCCACAAGCCCCUUUCUAACUGCCGCCUCUGGAUUCAAUUUGCCUCCUCCACUCAUCUGACCUCAGUUCUCUCUGCCUGUAUUGUCCCCUGCUCAGGCUUCCAUUCCAUUCCUUAUUUGAGAACCCAGUGGUAAAAGUGCAUUCUAAGGAGCUAUGUUUCAUAGGGGACUCUGAGGGGUAUUUUUAUCCAGACUUUUUCUGCACUAAACAUAUACUGUUCUUUCAUAUUCACAAUGUUUUCAUAUUGUGUUAAGUUUUAGAGAUAUGCAUCAAAAGCUAUUUCUUGACCACUUACUAUAUAUUUGGCCUUAGUUGCUGGGAACAGUAAAGGCAGAUGCAGCCUGAUUAAACAAGAAUUGCCUGGAGCACAUGUUUAAAAUAAAGAUUCCUUGGUCUCUGAAUUUGAAUCUCCAGGGAAGUUCUCAAGUGAAUCUUAGAACUGACUCUGAAUACAUGAGGAAGGAGAGUAGGAGACUGGAGGAAAGGUAAGGUUGGAAGAGGGCAAAAGGAAAGGAGGCGGGGUGGGGGGAUCCAGUGCCCACCGACCCAAUAAACUGUAUCCUGGACUACCUCA